CCUACGGGAGGCAGCAGUGAGGAAUAUUGGUCAAUGGACGAGAGUCUGAACCAGCCAAGUCGCGUGAAGGAUGACUGCCCUAUGGGUUGUAAACUUCUUUUAUAAAGGAAUAAAACGAGGCACGUGUGCCUUUUUGCAUGUACCUUAUGAAUAAGGAUCGGCUAACUCCGUGCCAGCAGCCGCGGUAAUACGGAGGAUCCGAGCGUUAUCCGGAUUUAUUGGGUUUAAAGGGAGCGUAGGUGGGUUGGUAAGUCAGUUGUGAAAUUUUGCGGCUCAACCGUAAAAUUGCAGUUGAUACUGGCGGUCUUGAGUACAGUUGAGGUAAGCGGAAUGCGUGGUGUAGCGGUGAAAUGCUUAGAUAUCACGAAGAACCCCGAUUGCGAAGGCAGCUUACUAAACUGUGACUGACGUUGAUGCUCGAAAGUGUGGGGAUCAAACAGGAUUAGAUACCCGAGUAGUC
Molecule: ribosomal RNA, 460 nt
Filed under: uncultured bacterium
Lineage: Bacteria
Description: partial 16S ribosomal RNA
Rfam family: Bacterial small subunit ribosomal RNA
Source: RNAcentral